UUCGUCACAAUUAACAAGCUCUCCCGAAGAUGAAACAAGCAGUACAGAAAUGGAGAGCUGUGCCUCGAAUGUACUUGUCCAUAGCGCCACCAAGCGGCACAAUCAUUUUAUAAAUAUUGCUAAACCGGUAAUUCAGUUAUUCUAGGAGUUCGACGCUGGGUGGCAGUAGAUUUCUUUUUCAAGCGGCCUUGAAAACCAGCGUUGGAAAUAAGUCACAUUCAAGGAUGAGCACUUCUUCUCCUAAUCUUUACUGCAGUGAUAAUAGGGGAACGGCUGUGGAAAGAGGAAACAAAGCUUCCCUUCCCCACUUCAGCACUAUUAGAACACACUGUUUUCAGGUUUGCAAAUUUCUGGACCCGUUGUUCUCAAUACAGUUUCACAUGGUGGCUCUUUUUGCAGAUCUUGGAAUUAAUACUUCUUGAAUUUAACAUAUGCAAGUAUCCUGGAAUUGCCACAGACCCCGGAUGACUGACUACACCUGGGAAGCUUUAUAUGACACUGCACUUUCUGCUGCCCAGACAAACCAGGGCGUUCCCACUGAAUGGCCUUCACACAAUAUUAACAGAGUUUAAUGUUUCCUUCGAGUAAUGUGAUCACUGCACCCUAAAGAUUGUCCUGCACUCUUCAAGAUGCAGGUCCUAAGCCUUUUGUGUACCUAGAGAAUGGCUUAUUACUACUGUGAGUUCUGGCUUAUUAACUAUAACAAUCAUUUUGUUCACCUAUACAAAAUGUCAAAUGUCAUCUAACUGCUUAAUCAGCGUUUCAAGAAAUAAAAAGCCAUUGCCUGAGUAAGAAAGACUGAUGUGAUGAAACAUCUUGGAGGCCCUCCUCAGUACUAAUUAAAAUAAUAGACAUUGU
This is a long non-coding RNA of Suricata suricatta (meerkat), 858 nucleotides long. RefSeq lists it as uncharacterized. The record is from RefSeq and is a predicted model, not a curated record. Lineage: Eukaryota; Metazoa; Chordata; Mammalia; Carnivora; Herpestidae. The transcript is spliced from 2 exons.